Molecule: long non-coding RNA, 585 nt
Organism: Calidris pugnax (ruff)
Lineage: Eukaryota; Metazoa; Chordata; Aves; Charadriiformes; Scolopacidae
Exons: 3
Source: RefSeq, a predicted model, not a curated record
GAAGGAAGGGCUUGUUAUCUUCUCCCCGGUGGCUGUCUCUGCCUCGGCAAUUACAGUAACAGCGCCCCGGAGGAGGGGAGGGGAGCAGUAGCCGGAGGCCUGAGCCCCCCAACCGGGCCUCGCUCUCCGCCCGCGGGGAGUCGGGUCUGGCCCUGCGGUAGUCAGAGGGCUCUCGGGAGGAGAGGCUCGGUAUGGAGGUGUAUGGCCCCCUCCACCCAUAUCAGGGAGCAGUUAACACCCUUGCAGCCCAGAGAGAAGUGGGGGGCAGAGGAGCCUGGCGGCCUGUUUAGGUUAGGGGUCUCUGUCACCCCAGUGGGAAGGGAGUGGGUCCCUCUUGUUCUGGUUUCCCCCCGAUGUACUUAGGUGGAGCACAUUACAAGGAGGCACGCUUUGGGCAGAGAUGGCAAAUUCAUGCGGCCCAGUGGGGAGCUUCAUUAUGUGUGUGAGUGUUGCCCGUCUGUCUCCUUCUCCCAGCCCUAGCAGCCCGCAAGCCUGUGUGGUGACUUAAGAAUAUGACAAAGCAUAAUACCACAAGAGCAAAGACUGAAAGGAAAAAAAGAUUUCUGAUAGCUUUUUUUUUUUAAA